Molecule: ribosomal RNA, 498 nt
Filed under: uncultured bacterium
Lineage: Bacteria
Description: bacterial SSU rRNA
Rfam family: Bacterial small subunit ribosomal RNA
Source: RNAcentral
GACGAACGCUGGCGGCGUGCUUAACACAUGCAAGUCGAACGGAGCUUUUUGGAUAGAGACUUCGGUCAAUUGAAUUAAAGCUUAGUGGCGGACUGGUGAGUAACGCGUGAGGAACCUGCCUUUCAGAGGGGGACAACAGUUGGAAACGACUGCUAAUACCGCAUAACGUAUCGGAACCGCAUGAUUCUGAUACCAAAGCUGAGGCGCUGAAAGAUGGACUCGCGUCUGAUUAGAUAGUUGGUGAGGUAACGGCUCACCAAGUCGACGAUCAGUAGCCGGACUGAGAGGUUGAUCGACCACAUUGGGACUGAGACACGGCCCAGACUCCUACGGGAGGCAGCAGUGGGGAAUAUUGCACAAUGGGGGAAACCCUGAUGCAGCAACGCCGCGUUGAGGGAAGACGGUUUUCGGGUGUAAAACCUCUGUCCUCUGUGAAGAAGAAAGUGACGGUAGCAGAGGAGAAGCCAACGGGCUAAACUACGUGCCAGCAGCCGACGG